Molecule: non-coding RNA, 5071 nt
Organism: Sus scrofa (pig)
Lineage: Eukaryota; Metazoa; Chordata; Mammalia; Artiodactyla; Suidae
Source: RefSeq, a predicted model, not a curated record
GGCAUUUCUUACUCUUGAGUAGAAACGUGUUUUCAUCGGGCUUUCGCCCUUUGGUUCCACUGUUCCCUGCCCAAGGGAAUAAAUCUCCCUCCUCUUCUCCAGGGAAAGCCAACAGUCGCUCCAAAUGUUUACCAAAACAGCUCAUUUACUCAUUCAGCAUAUGUUCACUGAGUGUUUCCUAUGUGCUGGGUACUGUUCAGGACUCUGAGAUUACAACAUAACAGAUGUUGACACGAGUAUUUUCAACCUACUUGCAUUUGGUUUGGGCUUAAAUGUCACUUCCUUAGAGAACUCAUUCAUUUUCUUCAUGGCACUGGUUGGUAUCUCUUGCUGUUAGUUAUUUGUUUACUGUCCCUCUCCAUUAUACCUUAAAGCUCUAUAAGGAUAGAGAUUAUGCCAUAGGGUUACUAUAUCCAGUAUCUUAUACAGUGCCUAAGCACAUGGUAGGCACUCAAUAACUAUUGUUGAACAAAUGCAUGUAUAUCUCUGAGCUGUACAGAAAUGGGUGGGUACAUCUUAGAUGACCUUCUUGGCCAGUGGAUGUAGCUUUAGGAACCUGAAGCAGCAGAGUAACUCUGAGAGCUGAGUAUUGGUGAAUCCCAUUCACAGGCUUAAAGCAGAAACAUCAAGUUCACGUUGUUUUUCUUGAGUUUUUGAUUUCAGAAUGAAGAUGUGUUUGGGGAAUCAGGACACCUGCUCCCGUUGUAUUCAUCCCCCCCACCCCAAUGAAGUGAACUAGUAAGCGCCUGGCUGAUUGUAAGCCCAACACACUGUUCACUACCGACUUGUUAUUUGUUUUCAACAUACUCCACCAGGUUCACAGUUCAUGUUGUGAGUAUCACAUGUUUGUGUUUUAAGGAUAAAUAACUUUUUUUUUUUAUACGUGCUACACAUGCAGCUGUUAGUUUCAAUUCAGUAGCAGGAACAGGCCAAAGUAAAUGUUAAGUAAUUAGAAAACAAACUCAGAAACUCUGUCACAUGAACAGGUUAUUGGUGAAAAAAACUGCAAGAUGGCUCAGGAACAGGAGUCUUUCCCUUUAUAGGUUUCACAUCAAUACAGGCAGAAAUAAAGAAGUUGAUGAGUUUGAGUGGGGAAGAGGAUAUUGUGUAAGAGACAGACUCAGCUUGCCUCCCUUAAGAUUCCAGAUAAUCAGCAGAUUUAAUCCCUCAAACAAAGGCAGACUAAUUUGGUUAAACCAGGUUGGUGAAUUAUUGCAGAUCUGGCUGCUUCAGUUGGCAAGCAAUCAUUGAAGUGUUUUUUUUUUUUUAAGUUAACUUAUAGAAAGAGAUAAAAGACCUAUUGAAAACAAACAAAGGUAAAAUCUUCUCUAUUAUGAUUGCAAAAGAUAACUUAUUUAGAUGGAAAUAAGUGUAACAAAUAACUUACUUAGAAAGAUAACAGCUAUGCUUAUGACUGCUGUAUGGAAUCCUAGUUGGCUAGAUUUAGUUGACCCGAAUCAUUUAGCUCUUUGAAUCCAUAAAUUUGUUCUCGAAUAAUGUAGAAAUAAAUGUAUAUAGUUCUUUAAAACUGUGAAGUAGACAAAUGGGAGUUAGAAACAAUAAAUAAGGUUGAAUCAUAACCAUAUGUGUGCUGGUAGACUAUUAUCCAUUUCCCGAGGUUCUGUCAAAGGUAAACUGAUUAUGUAGCAAUUCAGAUUCAGUGCUUUUGGGGAAGUGUAGCAAUAACUUGGAUCAUUUAUAUUUGGAAUUCUAUUCAGAAGCAUGCUUUAUCUAAAUUUGCCUCAGUUGCCUGGUAGGUGAUCAAAGUUCCUUUUUAUUUGCCUGUAGAUUCUUUCCUUUCUUAGUAAGUAGGUGUACUAAAUCAUGCUUCUAGUAUCUUCAUACUCAGUAAAUACUUACUGAGUGUCUGCUAUGUCUCUGGCACUGUUCUAGGUGCUGGAAAAACAGAAGUGAACAACAACAACAAAAAAACCCCAGCCCUCAUAAAGCUUACAUUCUAAUGGAGGAGGCAAAUUACACACAAUGUAGUUUUAUAAUGUAUUAGAAGAUAUUAAGAAGGUUGUAAAGAAUAAAAAAGCACUGAAGGGACAUAGAAAGUUCCAGAGUUGGGUUGGAAUGUUGAUCAGGUAAGUUGGUCAGUCAGGGGCUUGCUGAGAAGAUGACAUUUGAGCCAAGAUUUAGAGAAGGUCAGAGAAAGAAGCCUGUGAGUAUGGGAGGAAAGAGUGUUCCAAUAGAUGCAAGGACAAAGAGGAAACACCCACAACAGCAAGGAUGCCAGUGCAUUUGGAAUAAAGGAAGCAAGGAGGACCCCUCAGAGAUGAAUUAAAUAAAAGAUAGGGACUGUAUAUAAGGGCUUUGCAAAUCAUUGUAAGGACAUUGGUUCUAAGUGGAAAGUUAUUGGAAGGUCUUGAGUAGUGGAGAGUUAGAGCCUGAUUGACAUUUUUAAAGGAUCAGUUUGUCUCUGUGUUGAGAACAGAUUGGAAGUGAGUUGGUAGCCGUUGCAACAAUUUAGGCAAGAUGACGCUGGCUCUGAUGAGUCUGGUAGCAGUGAAAGUAGAAAGUGAAAAGUAGUCAAAUUCUGGAUGUAUUUAAAAAAUAGAGCCAACAGAAUUUGCUGACAUCAUUAUUUAGGAAAAAUUGCCGGAUCUAGAAUUCAUAUUUGUUUCUUUUCUCAGUUUCCAUUACAGCUAUACUAAGGAUCUAGCCUAGAUUUGGCUUCUAGAUUCAGGAAGCUGAAUUACUUGGCAAUAAAGACUAUAAUUUAAAGUAGAUAAAUAUUCAAGAAAACUACAUAAUAUUUCUCAAUAUUUUUGCGCUAAUGUUAUAUUUAUCCUAAGAUAUUCAAAUAAAAUGGGAUAAAAGAUAAAAUGCAAACUGUCUUUUCUCUUACUUAAUUAUGUAGUAAAUAUUAUUUUUAAUGAGGUGUGGCCAGAAAGUUUAUUUUGAACUUCAUGAUUCUUCAUGUUUACCUAACAGUAAUAGAAUAUGUCCGUCUCGGAAAAUGCAAAAGAUCAAAGAGUUUCUUCCAUUUGGUUUCAAAAACAGGAAAAGAAUAAUAGUUGACAGUUUUCAACUUUUGAACUCUUACUAUCUCUUACUUAGUGUAUUUUUACAUUUCACUUUCAUGUUUAGCUUAAAAACCACUAUAACUUGCUUUAGUAAACAAGAGAUGAUAAAAGCAUUUUCUUGUGAUUAUGAAGUAAACAAAAACUUAAUUCCACUUAGGAAAAAAAUCCUUCAGGACAUAUAAGAAAAACAAAGCACUGAACAACUAUAAUUAUAGGGAAUGACAGACUGCGAGUAAGAGUGGUGUCUGCUGACUUCCUGGUUUGAGUGUCAGGAAAAUCUGAGAGAGAAUUUUAUGUGAGCUGCUGGAGGAAGAGGAAAAAGCAUAAAAUCUGUAGGUCAAUGUUUCCUAAAUUUCCUUAAGGUGUUACUAGAUGUCCUUUAAUAAAAAGGAAUUUUUAUUUAAAUAAAAUGGGAAACAUUGGGUUAAACCAAGUAGGCAUAUCCCUCAACCCCAGCCCCUCACCCUAGCCCAGGUCUCUGACUUCUCAGCCUUUAUUCAUCCUACAGAGAUACAGCCGUAGGGAGAGAUCUUUUACAAAAUGCAUGUCUGAGUGCUUUGACCGUUUGAAAAUGGGGUUUAUCUCUUUUCUUUCUAGUUUGAAGGGAUUCUUUAUACGUUCUGCUAGACAUAUGAAUUAAAAUUACUUUCUAACACUCUAUAUCUGUCUUCUCACACCCCUCUCCAUGGUUUUUCUCUAAAUAGAAAAAUAAUGUCCCUUUAGGUUAGAAUAGCAAGUCUAAGGAAAGAAUUUCAUGGAUAAGUCAAGGAAAAUAUUGUUCUUUUGUUGCUAAACUGACAACUUCCAUAGAAGCCAACAAAACCCCACAAUGAGACUGAAGGUACAGUUGAAUGCUGUAGUUUUGGCACUGAGGAAGACAAUAUUUACUAGUAUCACUUCAUCUUUAGGCUCUUAGUCAAAAUUGACUCCUAGGAUAAAACAGAGACCAUCAAUUAAAUACUUGAAGUUGAGAUGUGACCAACAGUGCACAUGUUUAAGUUAGUUACCCUUUUAGUAUUUUAUUAGACAGAUGAGAAAUAAAACAUGAGAGUCAACCAAGGCAGAGUUGAAAUUCUGUCUCCACCACCUAAUGGUGGAUGGAAUCUAGCUAAGUAACUUAAUUUUUCAGUUCCCUUAACUUUAAAACAGGGCUAAUAAUACUGACCUCCUUGGGUUGCUGUAAGGAUUAAAUAAUACCAAGUAUGAAAAGCACCUAAUUUAGCACCUGGCAUCAGUAGUUGCUAAAUAGCCAUGAUUAGUGAAAGGAGAAGUAGUGUCAGGCUCUAUCCUAGUGUUUUCAGCAUGUGGAUCAGACACAGGCACUUAUCCAUCAUUUCUAUUUUGUAAUCCACUCUCAAAGCAUUGAAUCCGUAAUGGAGAUGAAACAUUGAUUUAGGGGUCCACUAAGCAGUCCAAAGGCAGUAACAGAGCUUCUCUGGGAACUCCAGAGUUCACAUUCUAGGCUGAAUCCAAUCUUUUCUAUGGUUAUUUUAAGAACUUAAAAAAGUUAUUGUAAAAGUAAGUUUGGAAAAAAAUUUCCAUUAAAAAGAUAUUUUUUAAUAUAAUAGGGAAGAUCUUUAUUCGUAGGCCUUUUUCUUUUUCUUUUUUUUUUUUUUAAUGUCCGGAAUGAGGCUUGUGACUGCUUAGAAAAAGAUUGUUCAACAUCUCCACCUACUGGUAACUUUAAAUAAUAUUAUGCAAUUAGAGAGCUGGAAAUUCCUAGUUUUAAAGAUAUAGAGUAUUACUAUUAUUAAUAAUGAUAAUGGUUAACGUGUGCUGAGCACUGACAAGGUCUUUCAGACUUUCUCAAGAGUUCGAUGAGAUAGUAAAUUACAGAAUAAUAAACUAUAUUUUGAAUUGAGUCAAUAUAACCUAAAGAAGAAAUAAUAAUUUUUAGUGUUAUAAUUGGGCAAGAGAACAGACCAUUGGCACAAUCCUAAGAUGCUUUGGUCCACAGCAUCUUAUGCCUGUAAGAUUGCAACAACCUCCUAAAUCACCUCUCUGCCUCCAGUUUUUUUGUUGUUGUUGUUGUUGUUGUUGUU